UUAGCUUCUCGGCCUUUUGGCUAACAUCAAGUGUAGAUCUGUUCUGAUUAGCUUCAUAUCUGAUACACCCAUUAGGGACCAAUUAUAAGGAGGCAGCAGUAGCUCAGUCUGUAAGAACUUGAGUUGGGAUUGCACCAAAC
This 140-nucleotide small nuclear RNA is filed under the name Labrus bergylta (ballan wrasse). RNAcentral describes it as "U2 spliceosomal RNA (ENSLBEG00000019675.1)". The stretch from base 1 to 101 matches the Rfam family "U2 spliceosomal RNA". Rfam says of the family: U2 is a small nuclear RNA (snRNA) component of the spliceosome (involved in pre-mRNA splicing). Complementary binding between U2 snRNA (in an area lying towards the 5' end but 3' to hairpin I) and the branchpoint sequence (BPS) of the intron results the bulging out of an unpaired adenosine, on the BPS, which initiates a nucleophilic attack at the intronic 5' splice site, thus starting the first of two transesterification reactions that mediate splicing. Lineage: Eukaryota; Metazoa; Chordata; Actinopteri; Labriformes; Labridae. The record is from RNAcentral.